This 75-nucleotide transfer RNA is filed under the name Thomasclavelia ramosa. RNAcentral's name for it is "Erysipelatoclostridium ramosum tRNA-Asp". It matches the Rfam family "tRNA". Rfam says of the family: Transfer RNA (tRNA) molecules are approximately 80 nucleotides in length. Their secondary structure includes four short double-helical elements and three loops (D, anti-codon, and T loops). The record is from RNAcentral. RNAcentral also lists the same sequence under 4 other names. Lineage: Bacteria; Bacillati; Bacillota; Erysipelotrichia; Erysipelotrichales; Coprobacillaceae.
GAGGUAUUCGUAUAGCGGUUAUUAUACUUGACUGUCUAUCAAGAGAUAGGGGUUCAACUCCCCUAUACCUCGCCA